Molecule: ribosomal RNA, 253 nt
Filed under: uncultured bacterium
Lineage: Bacteria
Description: partial 16S ribosomal RNA
Rfam family: Bacterial small subunit ribosomal RNA
Source: RNAcentral
UACGUAGGUGACCAGCGUUGUCCGGAUUUACUGGGCGUAAAGAGCGCGCAGGCGGUCGUUCAAGUCGAGUGUGAAAGCCCCCGGCUCAACUGGGGAGGGUCAUUCGAUACUGAUCGACUGGAAGGCAGGAGAGGGAAGCGGAAUUCCCGGUGUAGUGGUGAAAUGCGUAGAUAUUGGGAGGAACACCAGUGGCGAAGGCGGCUCACUGGACUGGUACUGACGCUGAGGCGCGAAAGCGUGGGGAGCAAACAGG